GAUGAACGCUGGCGGCGUGCUUAACACAUGCAAGUCGAACGUGAGAAUAGCAAUAUUUGAAAGUGGCAAACGGGUGAGUAACACGUGGGAACCUGCCUCGAAGUGGGGGAUAACGAUUGGAAACGGUCGCUAAUACCGCACGGUUCUGCUCUGAUGGGAAUGGAGCAGAUAAAGAUUUAUCGCUUUGAGAGGGGCCCGCGGCCGAUUAGCUAGUUGGUAAGGUAAAGGCUUACCAAGGCGAUUAUCGGUAGCUGGUCUGAGAGGACGAUCAGCCACACGGGAACUGAGACACGGUCCCGACUCCUACGGGGGGCAGCAGUGGGGAAUAUUGGACAAUGGGCGAAAGCCUGAUCCAGCCAUGCCGCGUGAGUGAUGAAGGCCCUAGGGUUGUAAAGCUCUUUCACCGGUGAAGAUAAUGACGGUAACCGGAGAAGAAGCCCCGGCUAACUUCGUG
Molecule: ribosomal RNA, 454 nt
Filed under: uncultured bacterium
Lineage: Bacteria
Description: partial 16S ribosomal RNA
Rfam family: Bacterial small subunit ribosomal RNA
Source: RNAcentral